AACAAGGGUUUCCGUAAGGUGAACCUGCGGAAGGAUCAUUA
RNAcentral lists this ribosomal RNA (41 nucleotides) under Pilobolus kleinii. RNAcentral describes it as "partial 18S ribosomal RNA". Lineage: Eukaryota; Fungi; Mucoromycota; Mucoromycetes; Mucorales; Pilobolaceae. The record is from RNAcentral.